CCUACGGGUGGCAGCAGUCGAGAAUCAUUCACAAUGGGGGAAACCCUGAUGGUGCGACGCCGCGUGGGGGAAUGAAGGUCUUCGGAUUGUAAACCCCUGUCAUGUGGGAGCAAAUUAAAAAGAUAGUACCACAAGAGGAAGAGACGGCUAACUCUGGGCCAGCAGCCGCGGUAAUACAGAGGUCUCAAGCGUUGUUCGGAAUCACUGGGCGUAAAGCGUGCGUAGGCUGUUUCGUAAGUCGGGUGUGAAAGGCGCGGGCUCAACCCGCGGACGGCAGAUGAUACUGCGAGACUAGAGUAAUGGAGGGGGAAGCGGAAUUCUCGGUGUAGCAGUGAAAUGCGUAGAUAUCGAGAGGAACACUCGUGGCGAAGGCGGGUUACUGGACAUUAACUGACGCUGAGGCACGAAGGCGAGGGGAGCGAAAGGGAUUAGAUACCCGAGUAGUC
This 446-nucleotide ribosomal RNA is filed under the name uncultured bacterium. RNAcentral's name for it is "partial 16S ribosomal RNA". It matches the Rfam family "Bacterial small subunit ribosomal RNA", at positions 338 to 795 of the family's 1533-position model. The record is from RNAcentral.